GGAAAAGAAACCAACAGGGGAUUGCCCCAGUAACGGGGAGUGAAGCGGCAACAGCUCAAAUUUGAAAUCUGGCUCCUUUGGGGUCCGAGUUGUAAUUUGCAGAGGGAGCUUUUGGCGUCGGUCGUGGUCUAAGUUCCUUGGAACAGGACGUCACAGAGGGUGAGAAUCCCGUACGUGGCCGCCGGCCUUCGCCUUGUAAAGCCCCUUCGACGAGUCGAGUUGUUUGGGAAUGCAGCUCUAAAUGGGAGGUAAAUUUCUUCUAAAGCUAAAUACCCGCCAGAGACCGAUAGCGCACAAGUAGAGUGAUCGAAAGAUGAAAAGCACUUUGGAAAGAGAGUGAAAAAGCACGUGAAAUUGUUGAAAGGGAAGCGCUUGCAGCCAGACGUGCCCGCGGUUGAUCAUCCAGGCUCCAGCCUGGUGCACUCCUCCGCGGGCAGGCCAGCAUCAGUUCGGGCGGUCGGAUAAAGGCCUCUAUCACGUACCACCCCUCGGGGUGGCCUUAUAGGGGAGGCGCAACACGGCCAGCCCGGACUGAGGUUCCGCGCAUCUGCUAGGAUGCUGGCGUAAUGGCGGCAAGCGGCCCGUCUUGAAACACGGACCAAGGAGUCUAACAUCUAUGCGAGUGUUUGGGUGUCAAGCCCGAGCGCGUAAUGAAAGUGAACGGAGGUGGGAACCCUCACGGGUGCACCAUCGACCGAUCCUGAUGUCUUCGGAUGGAUUUGAGUAAGAGCAUAGCUGUUGGGACCCGAAAGAUGGUGAACUAUGCCUGAAUAGGGUGAAGCCAGAGGAAACUCUGGUGGAGGCUCGCAGCGGUUCUGACGUGCAAAUCGAUCGUCAAAUUUGGGCAUAGGGGCGAAAGACUAAUCG
RNAcentral lists this ribosomal RNA (867 nucleotides) under Torula mackenziei. Its description in RNAcentral is "eukaryotic LSU rRNA". It matches the Rfam family "Eukaryotic large subunit ribosomal RNA", at positions 55 to 937 of the family's 3401-position model. Lineage: Eukaryota; Fungi; Ascomycota; Dothideomycetes; Pleosporales; Torulaceae. The record is from RNAcentral.